CGAGUGAAGCGGCAACAGCUCAAAUUUGAAAUCUGGCCCUCGUGGUCCGAAUUGUAAUUUGUAGAGGAUGCUUUUGGUGCGGUGCCUUCCGAGUUCCCUGGAACGGGACGCCAGAGAGGGUGAGAGCCCCGUACGGUUGGACACCUACCCUAUAUAUAGCUCCUUCGACGAGUCGGGUAGUUUGGGAAUGCUGCUCUAAAUGGGAGGUAAAUUUCUUCUAAAGCUAAAUACCGGCCAGAGACCGAUAGCGCACAAGUAGAGUGAUCGAAAGAUGAAAAGCACUUUGAAAAGAGGGUUAAAUAGCACGUGAAAUUGUUGAAAGGGAAGCGUUUACGACCAGACCUUUUCCAGGCGGAUCAUCCGAUGUUCUUCACCGGUGCACUUCGUCUGGUUUAGGCCAGCAUCGGUUUUCGUAGGGGGAGAAAGGCCUGGGGAACGUAUCUCCCUCGGGAGUGUUAUAGCCCCUAGCGUAAUACCCUUACGGGGACCGAGGACCGCGCUUCGGCAAGGAUGCUGGCAUAAUGGUCGUCAACGACCCGUCUUGAAACACGGACCAAGGAGUCGAACAUUUGUGCGAGUGUUUGGGUAUUAAACCCUCACGCGUAAUGAAAGUGAACGGAGGUGAGAGCCCUUCGGGGUGCAUCAUCGACCGAUCCUGAUGUCUUCGGAUGGAUUUGAGUAAGAGCAUAACUGUUCGGACCCGAAAGAUGGUGAACUAUGCGUGGAUAGGGUGAAGCCAGAGGAAACUCUGGUGGAGGCUCGCAGCGGUUCUGACGUGCAAAUCGAUCGUCAAAUCUGCGCAUGGGGGCGAAAGUAUGUAUACCUAUUUUUUUUUUAAAGUCCACAGGAGCUACCCUGGAGCUACCCUGGAGAAGUUUUUUGGGGAGGACCUACCCUGUAGGAGUCGAGUAGCUACCCUGUAGUUGCCCGGCACCUACCCUGGAGAACUUUUUCCGAGUAGCUACCCUGGAGCUACCCUGGACUUACCCUGUACUUGCAAAAUUA
This 1005-nucleotide ribosomal RNA is filed under the name Hypoxylon sp. RNAcentral describes it as "partial large subunit ribosomal RNA". It matches the Rfam family "Eukaryotic large subunit ribosomal RNA", at positions 90 to 933 of the family's 3401-position model. Lineage: Eukaryota; Fungi; Ascomycota; Sordariomycetes; Xylariales; Hypoxylaceae. The record is from RNAcentral.